ACAGAGAGGAAGUGUGUUAUCACCAACGAGGACCAGGCUUGCUGAGAAAGGCUCAGAUUCAAGUCAUGAUGUGUACUAUGUACAGAUUGGCACACAUUUGAUGUGUAACCACUGA
RNAcentral lists this long non-coding RNA (115 nucleotides) under Monodelphis domestica (gray short-tailed opossum). Its description in RNAcentral is "lncRNA (ENSMODG00000033235.2)". Lineage: Eukaryota; Metazoa; Chordata; Mammalia; Didelphimorphia; Didelphidae. The record is from RNAcentral.